Molecule: transfer RNA, 72 nt
Filed under: Marmota monax (woodchuck)
Lineage: Eukaryota; Metazoa; Chordata; Mammalia; Rodentia; Sciuridae
Description: tRNA.Undet
Source: RNAcentral
UGGGGAUAUAGCUCAGUUGGUAGAGAGCUUGCCUAUAUGCACAAGGCCCUGGGUUCAAUCCCCAGCACACAA